RNAcentral lists this long non-coding RNA (703 nucleotides) under Ananas comosus (pineapple). RNAcentral's name for it is "long non-coding RNA (ACOM_LNC035871)". The record is from RNAcentral. Lineage: Eukaryota; Viridiplantae; Streptophyta; Magnoliopsida; Poales; Bromeliaceae.
CUUCUCAUGGAAGUUACAUCCCACUUCACAUGGAAGUUAUGCCCCACUUCACAUGGAAGUUACGCCCCACUUCUCAACCGUUCCCGCCUAAACGCUCUUGGCCUUCAGGCGCAUUAUUGCAGACUCCUGGUGUAUCACGCGUCCUAAUUUCUUCGGCUCAUACGUAGGCUAGAUCGGCGUGUUCAUUUCAAAUUUGGCAUCAACAAUAUCAAGUUAGUAUCAUGUGGUUUUAUUUUUGUAUCAAGUUAAUAUUCUGUGAUUUUUAAACCAUAGGGCACUAAAGUGAGAAAGUGCGAAACCACAGGGUACUAAUUUGAUACACUUUAAACCAAACGGUACUAAAGUGAGAACGAAUGAAACCACAAGGUGGGUUUUUGACGUUUUCCCUUUUUUUUUUUUGCGUACUUUUUCCUUCCCUGCUAAGCCAAAGUUGGGCUCAACCCUUUCUUUCUCUGCAGCAAUUUAGGGUGGGUUUGGUUUCACGUAAAAUUGUGAAAAACAAAUUUUCAAUGGAAAAAAAUUUUUGUGAAAUUUUUUUUUACGUCGUUUAGUAUUUGAUUUGUAAGAAAAGAAAAAUAAUUUUUCGUGACUGUUGUUUGGUUAAAAGAAAAAAAAGUAAAAAAAUAUUUAAUAUAUUUUUAUUAUAUAUAUUAGUAAUUUAUAAUAAUUAAUAUACUAUAUAUAUUAUUAUUAUAAUUUCUAU